GGUUUAACUACCCAAGUUUGAG
This 22-nucleotide unclassified non-coding RNA is filed under the name Ascaris suum (pig roundworm). RNAcentral describes it as "SL1-like trans-spliced leader sequence variant SL1a". The record is from RNAcentral. Lineage: Eukaryota; Metazoa; Nematoda; Chromadorea; Rhabditida; Ascarididae.